AGAUUAAGUUAUUAAGGGCGCACGGUGGAUGCCUUGGCACUAGAAGCCGAUGAAGGACGUUACUAACGACGAUAUGCUUUGGGUAGCUGUAAGUAAGCGUUGAUCCAGAGAUUUCCGAAUGGGGGAACCCAGCAUGAGUUAUGUCAUGUUAUCGACAUGUGAAUUCAUAGCAUGUCAGAAGGCAGACCCGGAGAACUGAAACAUCUUAGUACCCGGAGGAAGAGAAAGAAAAAUCGAUUCCCUGAGUAGCGGCGAGCGAAACGGGAAGAGCCCAAACCAACAAGCUUGCUUGUUGGGGUUGUAGGACACUCUAUACGGAGUUACAAAAGAACAUGUUAGACGAAUCAUCUGGAAAGAUGAAUCAAAGAAGGUAAUAAUCCUGUAGUCGAAAACAUAUUCUCUCUUGAGUGGAUCCUGAGUACGACGGAGCACGUGAAAUUCCGUCGGAAUCUGGGAGGACCAUCUCCUAAGGCUAAAUACUCUCUAGUGACCGAUAGUGAACCAGUACCGUGAGGGAAAGGUGAAAAGUACCCCGGAAGGGGAGUGAAAGAGAACUUGAAACCGUGUGCUUACAAGUAGUCAGAGCCCGUUAAUGGGUGAUGGCGUGCCUUUUGUAGAAUGAACCGGCGAGUUACGAUCUGAUGCAAGGUUAAGCAGCAAAUGUGGAGCCGCAGCGAAAGCGAGUCUGAAUAGGGCGUUGAGUAUUUGGUCGUAGACCCGAAACCAGGUGAUCUACCCUUGGUCAGGUUGAAGUUCAGGUAACACUGAAUGGAGGACCGAACCGACUUACGUUGAAAAGUGAGCGGAUGAACUGAGGGUAGCGGAGAAAUUCCAAUCGAACUUGGAGAUAGCUGGUUCUCUCCGAAAUAGCUUUAGGGCUAGCCUCAAGUGAUGAUUAUUGGAGGUAGAGCACUGUUUGGACGAGGGGCCCCUCUCGGGUUACCGAAUUCAGACAAACUCCGAAUGCCAAUUAAUUUAACUUGGGAGUCAGAACAUGGGUGAUAAGGUCCGUGUUCGAAAGGGAAACAGCCCAGACCACCAGCUAAGGUCCCAAAAUAUAUGUUAAGUGGAAAAGGAUGUGGCGUUGCCCAGACAACUAGGAUGUUGGCUUAGAAGCAGCCAUCAUUUAAAGAGUGCGUAAUAGCUCACUAGUCGAGUGACACUGCGCCGAAAAUGUACCGGGGCUAAACAUAUUACCGAAGCUGUGGAUUGUCCUUUGGACAAUGGUAGGAGAGCGUUCUAAGGGCGUCGAAGCAUGAUCGCAAGGACAUGUGGAGCGCUUAGAAGUGAGAAUGCCGGUGUGAGUAGCGAAAGACGGGUGAGAAUCCCGUCCACCGAUUGACUAAGGUUUCCAGAGGAA
Molecule: ribosomal RNA, 1360 nt
Filed under: Staphylococcus epidermidis
Lineage: Bacteria; Bacillati; Bacillota; Bacilli; Caryophanales; Staphylococcaceae
Description: bacterial LSU rRNA
Rfam family: Bacterial large subunit ribosomal RNA
Source: RNAcentral